GGAAUUGUUCGCAAUGGGCGAAAGCCUGACGACGCAACGCCGCGUGAAGGAUGAAGGUCUUCGGAUUGUAAACUUCUGUUGCUUGGGAAGAAUGACUCCGGCCUAACACGUCGGGGUGUGACGGUACCAAGUGAGGCAGCCCCGGCUAACUCUGUGCCAGCAGCCGCGGUACUAAAGAGGGGGCAAGCGUUGUUCGGAAUUACUGGGCGUAAAGGGCGCGUAGGCGGCCUGUUAAGUCGAACGUGAAAUCCCCGGGCUAAACUCGGGAACUGCGCUCGAGACUGGCAGGCUUGAAUCCGGGAGAGGGAUGCGGUAUUCCAGGUGUAGCGGUGAAAUGCGUAGAUAUCUGGAGGAACAUCGGUGGCGAAGGCGGCAUCCUGGACCGGUAUUGACGCUGAGGCGCGAAAGCUAGGGUAGCAAAC
This 422-nucleotide ribosomal RNA is filed under the name uncultured bacterium. RNAcentral describes it as "bacterial SSU rRNA". It matches the Rfam family "Bacterial small subunit ribosomal RNA", at positions 358 to 773 of the family's 1533-position model. The record is from RNAcentral.